RNAcentral lists this ribosomal RNA (488 nucleotides) under uncultured bacterium. RNAcentral describes it as "bacterial SSU rRNA". It matches the Rfam family "Bacterial small subunit ribosomal RNA", at positions 501 to 987 of the family's 1533-position model. The record is from RNAcentral.
CUACGUGCCAGCAGCCGCGGUAAUACGUAGGUGGCAAGCGUUGUCCGGAAUUAUUGGGCGUAAAGCGCGCGCAGGUGGUUUAAUAAGUCUGAUGUGAAAGCCCACGGCUCGACCGUGGAGGGUCAUUGGAAACUGUUAAACUUGAGUGCAGGAGAGAAAAGUGGAAUUCCUAGUGUAGCGGUGAAAUGCGUAGAGAUUAGGAGGAACACCAGUGGCGAAGGCGGCUUUUUGGCCUGUAACUGACGCUGAGGCGCGAAAGCCAGGGGAGCGAACGGGAUUAGAUACCCCGGUAGUCCUGGCCGUAAACGAUGGGUACUAGGUGUAGGAGGUAUCGACCCCUUCUGUGCCGGAGUUAACGCAAUAAGUACCCCGCCUGGGGAGUACGACCGCAAGGUUGAAACUCAAAGGAAUUGACGGGGGCCCGCACAAGCGGUGGAGUAUGUGGUUUAAUUCGACGCAACGCGAAGAACCUUACCAGGUCUUGACAU